This 76-nucleotide small RNA is filed under the name Xanthomonas cucurbitae. Its description in RNAcentral is "sX9 sRNA". It matches the Rfam family "Xanthomonas sRNA sX9". Lineage: Bacteria; Pseudomonadati; Pseudomonadota; Gammaproteobacteria; Lysobacterales; Lysobacteraceae. The record is from RNAcentral. RNAcentral also lists the same sequence under 1 other name.
AUGUGCCCCGGCCACGCUCCGGUUCUGAGCGCACCAUCCGUCCCACCUGAUGACUGCCCGCGACGCGUUGUGGGCC